AACGCACAUUGCGCCUCUCUUUACCGGGAGGCAUGCCUGUCUGAGCGUCAUUAAUCUAAUAAAUCCUUGAUUGGAUUUGUCUUGGGCUUUAUACCUCACGGUGCAUCGCCUCAAAGCCAUGGGUCUUAAUUCAUGGAUGAGCUCCUUUUGGACUUGCCGUGGUUUGGCCUCUUUGCGAGGGGUUUGCCUCUCUCUACAUUUGACCUCAGAUCAGGUAGGAAAACCGCCUGAACUUAA
Molecule: unclassified non-coding RNA, 237 nt
Filed under: uncultured fungus
Lineage: Eukaryota; Fungi
Description: sequence contains ITS2
Source: RNAcentral